GACGAACCGUGCGUACGUUGUUCGGAAUCAUUGGGCGUAAAGGGCACGUAGGCGGCCUGGCAAGUGGAAGGUGAAAUCCCUCGGCUUAACCGAGGAACUGCCCUCCAAACUGCUUGGCUUGAGACCGGGAGAGGUGAGUGGAAUUCCCAGUGUAGCGGUGAAAUGCGUUGAUAUUGUGAGGAACGCCGGAGGCGAAAGCGGCGCACUGGAUCUCUUCUGACGCUGAGGCGCGGAAGCUAGGGGAGCAAACGGG
Molecule: ribosomal RNA, 253 nt
Filed under: uncultured bacterium
Lineage: Bacteria
Description: partial 16S ribosomal RNA
Rfam family: Bacterial small subunit ribosomal RNA
Source: RNAcentral